RNAcentral lists this ribosomal RNA (406 nucleotides) under uncultured bacterium. RNAcentral's name for it is "bacterial SSU rRNA". It matches the Rfam family "Bacterial small subunit ribosomal RNA", at positions 356 to 773 of the family's 1533-position model. The record is from RNAcentral.
GGGGAAUAUUGCACAAUGGGCGGAAGCCUGAUGCAGCGACGCCGCGUGGGGGAUGACGGCCUUCGGGUUGUAAACUCCUUUCACCAUCGACGAAGGUUUUCUGACGGUAGAUGGAGAAGAAGCACCGGCUAACUACGUGCCAGCAGCCGCGGUAAUACGUAGGGUGCGAGCGUUGUCCGGAAUUACUGGGCGUAAAGAGCUCGUAGGUGGUUUGUCGCGUCGUCUGUGAAAUUCCGGGGCUUAACUCCGGGCGUGCAGGCGAUACGGGCAUAACUUGAGUACUGUAGGGGAGACUGGAAUUCCUGGUGUAGCGGUGAAAUGCGCAGAUAUCAGGAGGAACACCGGUGGCGAAGGCGGGUCUCUGGGCAGUAACUGACGCUGAGGAGCGAAAGCAUGGGUAGCGAAC